Molecule: long non-coding RNA, 404 nt
Organism: Fundulus heteroclitus (mummichog)
Lineage: Eukaryota; Metazoa; Chordata; Actinopteri; Cyprinodontiformes; Fundulidae
Exons: 2
Source: RefSeq, a predicted model, not a curated record
AACAGGAUAUGAAAAUAUCCAUGUUGAUUCCUCUGGGAGAAUUUAAGCUUAUAUUCAGAAAUAUAAAAUAAAUCUUGCCAUGAAACUUGUUCUUGUUUUUAGGUUAUAUUUUGUCUUAUUUAAUAUGAUUUAAAUCCUUUAAGUGUUUGUUUUGUUAUUGUGUUUGUAAAUAUGUUUUUGUUUUGUUUUACCAAAACCAGUCUCCUGUAAAUUAUAUCUUCCCUGAUAGCAAAAGAUGUUAAAUCAAUGUGGAAUUAGGGUCAAAAAGAUUAACUUUUGGUUAAGGUCGACGAUUGAUGGUGGAUCAACCAAUCAUUCAGUUGUAGCCAAUGUUGAAAAGAUGUAAUUGAAUGUUGUUUUGAAGACAAAUUUUAAUGAUCGAAAAGCCAACGCCGCUGUGUGUA